GUCUGCAUAGCUCAGUUGGUUAGAGCAUGGGGCUGAUAAUGCCAAGGUUGCAGGUUUGAUCCCCAUAUGGGACA
RNAcentral lists this transfer RNA (74 nucleotides) under Podarcis lilfordi (Lilford's wall lizard). RNAcentral's name for it is "tRNA.Ile". The record is from RNAcentral. Lineage: Eukaryota; Metazoa; Chordata; Lepidosauria; Squamata; Lacertidae.